RNAcentral lists this transfer RNA (72 nucleotides) under Treponema sp. RNAcentral describes it as "tRNA-His". It matches the Rfam family "tRNA". Rfam says of the family: Transfer RNA (tRNA) molecules are approximately 80 nucleotides in length. Their secondary structure includes four short double-helical elements and three loops (D, anti-codon, and T loops). RNAcentral also lists the same sequence under 3 other names. The record is from RNAcentral. Lineage: Bacteria; Pseudomonadati; Spirochaetota; Spirochaetia; Treponematales; Treponemataceae.
GUGCCUGUAGUUCAGCGGUAGAGCGCCAGAUUGUGGAUCUGGUUGUCGUGGGUUCGAUCCCCACCAGGCACC